UGAAAAUUUGUUAAGAAACAAACUAAACUUAGAAAAAAAUCGAAAAAUCCCUAAAAUCAUUUCAUCAGCUCUUCUUCUUCUUCUUCACGAGAUCUUCUUCUGAGCUCAGCUACGUGCAAUUGAGAUGAUCUGAGCUUACUUGCUGCGAGCAUGGCAAGUAACCCGCCACCAUCUGGUUCACAGCCACAUUGGUCACAUCCUGCAUCUGAAUCAGUGGCUCCUCAGAAUU
Long non-coding RNA from Salvia splendens (bonfire salvia), 229 nucleotides. RefSeq lists it as uncharacterized. The record is from RefSeq and is a predicted model, not a curated record. The transcript has 3 exons. Lineage: Eukaryota; Viridiplantae; Streptophyta; Magnoliopsida; Lamiales; Lamiaceae.